Molecule: ribosomal RNA, 411 nt
Filed under: Copelatus guerini
Lineage: Eukaryota; Metazoa; Arthropoda; Insecta; Coleoptera; Dytiscidae
Description: SSU rRNA
Rfam family: Eukaryotic small subunit ribosomal RNA
Source: RNAcentral
CGUACCCACAUUUACUUGGAUAACUGUGGUAAUUCUAGAGCUAAUACAUGCAAACAGAGUUCCGACCGGAGACGGGAGGAAUGCUUUUAUUAGAUCAAAACCAAUCGGCGGCGGGRGCGUUCGCGUGCCCGUUCGCCGCUCAACCUGGUGACUCUGAAUAACUUUCGGCUGAUCGCACGGUCCAGCACCGGCGACGCAUCUUUCAAAUGUCUGCCUUAUCAACUGUCGAUGGUAGGUUCUGCGCCUACCAUGGUCGUAACGGGUAACGGGGAAUCAGGGUUCGAUUCCGGAGAGGGAGCCUGAGAAACGGCUACCACAUCCAAGGAAGGCAGCAGGCGCGCAAAUUACCCACUCCCGGCACGGGGAGGUAGUGACAAAAAAUAACGAUACGGGACUCAUCCGAGGCCCCGU